RNAcentral lists this ribosomal RNA (676 nucleotides) under uncultured Weissella sp. Its description in RNAcentral is "bacterial SSU rRNA". It matches the Rfam family "Bacterial small subunit ribosomal RNA", at positions 64 to 720 of the family's 1533-position model. Lineage: Bacteria; Bacillati; Bacillota; Bacilli; Lactobacillales; Lactobacillaceae. The record is from RNAcentral.
AAGAACUUGUUCAGAUUUGAUUUUCAACAUUGCAAUGAGUGGCGAACGGGUGAGUAACACGUGGGAAACCUACCUCUUAGCAGGGGAUAACAUUUGGAAACAAAUGCUAAUACCGUAUAAUAAUUAAAACCGCAUGGUUUUAGUUUAAAAGAUGGUCUUGCUAUCACUAAGAGAUGGUCCCGCGGUGUAUUAGUUAGUUGGUGAGGUAAUGGCUCACCAAGACAAUGAUACAUAGCCGAGUUGAGAGACUGACCGGCCACAAUGGGACUGAGACACGGCCCAUACUCCUACGGGAGGCAGCAGUAGGGAAUCUUCCACAAUGGACGAAAGUCUGAUGGAGCAACGCCGCGUGUGUGAUGAAGGGUUUCGGCUCGUAAAACACUGUUGUAAGAGAAGAAUGACAUUGAGAGUAACUGUUCAAUGUGUGACGGUAUCUUACCAGAAAGGAACGGCUAAAUACGUGCCAGCAGCCGCGGUAAUACGUAUGUUCCAAGCGUUAUCCGGAUUUAUUGGGCGUAAAGCGAGCGCAGACGGUUAUUUAAGUCUGAAGUGAAAGCCCUCGGCUCAACCGAGGAAUUGCUUUGGAAACUGGAUAACUUGAGUACAGUAGAGGAAAGUGGAACUCCAUGUGUAGCGGUGAAAUGCGUAGAUAUAUGGAAGAACACCAGUGGCGAAG